CGGUAUUAUUCUUUGCCAUCUAGGAGGAAUUCUGCUAAUCAAAAUUUUCUCAUUUUCACUUUCAUUUGUAUUAGCAGACAUAAUGUACGUGGUAUUGAGAGUCAAAAACUGCAGCUUCCAACCUAGUAAUUUUGGUUCAAAGUUUUUUUUCCAGGCGGUGACAGUGCUGCUUUAGCUGUAGGAGCUCAAACAAGCAGCCAGUCAUUAGCGGCACACUGUAUAGGGCUGCUUAGGAGGUGAAAAGGACCAGGCACACUAUGUACAG
Molecule: non-coding RNA, 265 nt
Organism: Pelobates cultripes (western spadefoot toad)
Lineage: Eukaryota; Metazoa; Chordata; Amphibia; Anura; Pelobatidae
Source: the annotation of a GenBank genome assembly